Molecule: ribosomal RNA, 502 nt
Filed under: uncultured Polyangiaceae bacterium
Lineage: Bacteria; Pseudomonadati; Myxococcota; Polyangiales; Polyangiaceae
Description: bacterial SSU rRNA
Rfam family: Bacterial small subunit ribosomal RNA
Source: RNAcentral
AGAGUUUGAUCAUGGCUCAGAGCGAACGUUAGCGGCGGGCCUAACACAUGCAAGUCGAACGCGAAAGGGAUUCGUCCCCGGUAGCGUGGCGUCCGGGUGAGUAACACGUAGGAAAUCUUCCCUCGAGCGGGGGAUAACGUCCCGAAAGGGACGCUAAUACCGCAUAAGCCCACGUCCGCCUCGGCGGAUGAGGGAAAAGCUGGCCACUGUAUACAAGCUAGCACUUGAGGAUGAUCCUGCGGCGCAUCAGCUAGUUGGUGAGGUAAUGGUUCACCAAGGCUUAGACGCGUAGCUGGUCUGAGAGGAUGAUCAGCCACACUGGCACUGAAACACGGGCCAGACUCCUACGGGAGGCAGCAGUGGGGAAUAUUGGACAAUGGGCGCAAGCCUGAUCCAGCCACGCCGCGUGAGUGAUGAAGGCCUUCGGGUUGUAAAGCUCUGUGGGGAGGGACGAAAACGGCACUCAAGAAACGGGGUGUCCUUGACGGUACCUCCUAGCAGA